AGGCUCAAAGAGAGAGGCAGGGUCUGAUCCGCAGCCACCGUUGGCAGCUGUUGAUCAGCUGUUGCCUCUCUCAUUCUUUCUG
This is a non-coding RNA of Myotis brandtii (Brandt's bat), 82 nucleotides long. Lineage: Eukaryota; Metazoa; Chordata; Mammalia; Chiroptera; Vespertilionidae. The record is from Rfam.